AUGAUCUCUCUGGGAUAUAGCCUAGAAGUGCUAUUGCUGGGUCAAAGGGUAUGCACAUUUUUAUAGCUCUUUGGGCUUAUUAACUAUAGCUUUUGAUGAGUGCCAACCUAGGAUGUGGUUUGAAUCCUGACUAGCUUCCUGAGAGGCCCCAUGUGGUCAAGGGGUGGGGCUAGGGGGACUACUUGGGGACCUCAGGUGUUACUCUUAAAAAUCUUUCUUGUUUCAAGGCCUGUCUCAGUAAUGAACUGGAUCAGGUCACAGUCUUCAGACCUGUAACCUCCCAUUCAACAUCCCUAAAGACUUAGGAUGUCAGCUUAGUAGCGUGGCAUAGGGUCACUUAAAAUCUAAAUUCACAACAUAGGCAGCCUCACACUUUGCUUUCCAGGAAGUUCCCAUGUUGGAGGACAAUGACUUCUACAUUUCCAGACUCCUGCAUAUUUCCACAGAGAGGUCAUAAGAAGGGUGACUCUUCUUCCCUGCCAGACCACUGGCUUAUGUCACAAGAGGACCUCUGUAAGUUCUCCCAGCAGGUUUUGAGCUCUGCUGAAAGGGAACUGUGUUUUCCCAGUCAACAAUCAGUCAACCAUGUUGAACAAUUAAAGUGGCUCAUAUAAGGCCCGGGAAGUUGCCAAUAAGAUAAGAAUUUGGUAUCAUAUUACAGCCUUGAAUUUUUUUUAACUCUAUACCAAGUUGGAUUUGCCUUGAGUUUCAAGACAAGGGGAAGUGGGUGUAACCAGUAAAUUUAUAGAACCACUUCCCAGGGUAAUUUCUAAUGUUUAGCCAUAAAUUUUCUAGAAGUAUAAAAGCAGUUACUUUAUCAAUGCCCCACCUCCCCCCAGCACACAAACAGGUCCUCACACCACAGCCUUGUGGAAAGGAAGGGAGUGAGGGUGAGGCUUACCAUACAUGGAACAGGCUGGUGCCUUAUCUCUCUAGCUUGCCCCAGGGAGUGAUGGAGACUGAUGAAAGUGUCCUUCCCUCUUCCUUUUCUCCCUGCUUUUGUGUUCAAUUUCUUUGGACAUGUGCUUUCGUUGCCAGACUAUGUUCUGUGACAACAGCUUCAAUUCUCUCUCCAUCACCCAAGCCAGAGCAACAAAGAAAAAUGUUCUCAGACCCACAUGUAAUGUUUUUCUUGAAACUGAGAGGAGAGACAGACAGACAGACAGAGAGACAGAGAGAGACAGAGACAGAGACACAGAAAGAGACAGAGACACGAGAGAGACUGAGACAGAAAGAGUCAUAAGAAUGCAUUCUGCUACACUGUGACAGGAAAUUCAAAACAACAACAAAAAAAAGAAGGCUGGUGGGGGUGGAGAGUCCAUAAAGAAGUCUCCAGGGGUCGUAGGAAAUAAUAGAACACAUGAGAAAUAGAACAAAAAAAAAUUGCUGUGAUGCCAAGAAUAGUUUUAGAAGCAAUGCCUUCUGUGCCAUUUUACUUGCUGGUAGAAUCCUGCUUGGGGGAAUAAUCCUACAUGUCUAGCACAAGGUUUUGUACAUAAUGGGCACAAAAUAAACAUCUGUGGAAUUGAAUCUGAGAAAGCAUGCUAUAAUGGGAAAAAUGCUGUUUCUGGAGCCAGAGGGCCUGAGUUCCAACCCCACUCCUGACACCUCUGGACGGGUGAUCGCAGGGAAAAGGACCAGAAGAAAAUGGGCUUAUGUUAUUUCACAAAGGACUUGGAGCAGAUGUAAAGAAGAGUUUUCUGAUGUCGAAGUUUCUGAGGCACUGAGAUGUCAAGGGAGAAGUUUAAGCAAAGAGCAGACACAUGUUACUUAGGUUGAUUUAGAUGUGGUCUUUCCUGAGGAUAAAGAAAUAACUUAGGCCACCUUUUGAGAUUUCUUCCAGGCCUAUGAGUCUAUAAUUUUAACUGUAAAGGAAAGUGAAUGUCCAUUUUAAAAUACAUUGAUUUUUGAGAAGUCUCUCUGCGAUGUUAUUUAUUUGUAUAUGAGAUAGAGAAGAAAUGAGGAACCUUUGUUCUUUAGAAAACCAAAAAGUUGCUCCAAGGAUUCCUCAUGAGAAUGUUAGUUAUUAUUUUUUGUUUCAUUUUUUCAUUUCUUUUUUUUUCUUUUUGCUCUCUCCCAGCUUUCCUCCCCUAUUGAAAAGAG
Molecule: non-coding RNA, 2103 nt
Organism: Phascolarctos cinereus (koala)
Lineage: Eukaryota; Metazoa; Chordata; Mammalia; Diprotodontia; Phascolarctidae
Source: RefSeq, a predicted model, not a curated record